Molecule: non-coding RNA, 1153 nt
Organism: Notechis scutatus (mainland tiger snake)
Lineage: Eukaryota; Metazoa; Chordata; Lepidosauria; Squamata; Elapidae
Source: RefSeq, a predicted model, not a curated record
UCAGACAAUUUGAAAGACAGAAUAAUGAAUCACAGUAGUGUACCAAUACAAAAGCAACUGAUCUGCCCACAUAGUGGAAGUCGCACCCAAGUAAACUGGUUACUAACUAGACAAACUGAGGUGGAACGCUGAUAUUGUAAGAGGAAAUCAUAAAAAUGAGGCAUCUCUCAACAACUGGCUUUGUCCCAUGUUCUACCUCAUUGGUUCAUUUGUGAUGGAGUUUGUGGCUUUAGCAUUUUAUAUAAAACAGGGCAUCAAUCCAUUAAUAUUGUUUGUUUGUGCAUAGAGUUGUAUGUGAGUGCAGCACCUUGUUUUGUUAACCCAUAGUUAAAGUUGAACAGGGGGAAUCAACCCAGCCAGGGUUUAAAAAAGAACCUGUUGGGACUUGCGGGUGCUAUGCAUGCAGCCGGUACAAAAACAAGAAUGGGGGCCUGAUUCACAGAUGGACUUGGCUGCAAAAUGUGAUGUGUACUACCCACACUGCUUGGUAUGAACAGUAAAAAAACUGGACAGAAAAAUUAAAUUAUUAAUGACAUUUGCUAAUCUUGUGGAUGAUCCAGGAUCCAACUCCUAUUCUUGGAAUUCAAGACUUAGCUAUUUAGGGCAUUCUAAAAAAAAAAAAAAACCCUCCUCAGAACAGUCACAUGAUUGGUGCCAUCCCACAUUUAAACUAAACCUUCCAGAAGUGCUCCUAUUAAACCAACUCCAGGCAGGCAAUGAUUAUUGGGGAAACCUGUCUUCCAAGGAAAGUCUGUUUCAUGACACGAAGGUCAUGGUAGAAAAGCAACCCUGCGUACCCAGAAUGCUGCAGGUCAUUAGGGGGGAUAAGAGAAUCCUCUACAUUUAGCUAGUGCAAGACCUGCUGCUGUGCCUGCUGACAUGUUCACCAGAUGAAAGCGACUAACAGCUGUGGGACAAAUCCCACCUCUUUGACAAGUGCCAGGAAAAUCAGAUGAUCCCGACAGUUCAAAUGGGUAUAAACAUUUAUUGUAAGCUUGAGCUCUCUUGUAAGCUGACCAGCCAAGAGAAAUUAGUGGGAGAUAAGAGUAGAAGGAAUUCAAGGGGAGCUGAACUAGCCAUCUCUUGUUGGCGCAAAGGGACUCAUGACUGAUGAUGCCUUUGACUCCUCCCUCGGGCUCAGCCUGGUCAUUUC